Molecule: transfer RNA, 66 nt
Filed under: Microspingus lateralis (Buff-throated warbling-finch)
Lineage: Eukaryota; Metazoa; Chordata; Aves; Passeriformes; Thraupidae
Description: tRNA-Ser
Source: RNAcentral
GAGGAGAGGUAAAGCCAACGAGAACUGCUAACUCUUGUAUCCGAGUAUAAAACCCCGGUCUCCUUA